GACAACUAGAGGCCUUUGGGUGGGAUUCAGAAAUUUUGAUAUGUUGUAGUUUGCACGCAUGAUGAUUACUUACAGCAUCGCCUACAGAAGACCAACCCAGCUGCUGCUGUUAUUUCACUCCAGGAAUUGGCUGUCCUGUUCUUUCUAUCAGCUUGUUUGUCUGGGUGGUCUGGGAUAACUGACAUCGGUGAGAAAAACAUUCUUUUUUCAUAGUGUGAUUUAUUUUUAUUUUUUAGCCCAGACCAUUUCACUCAGCUUGCUUAGGCAGUGCACACAGGAAGACCUGGAAGGGCAAGCAGA
RNAcentral lists this long non-coding RNA (300 nucleotides) under Struthio camelus australis. RNAcentral describes it as "lncRNA (ENSSCUG00000011382.1)". Lineage: Eukaryota; Metazoa; Chordata; Aves; Struthioniformes; Struthionidae. The record is from RNAcentral.